Molecule: ribosomal RNA, 451 nt
Filed under: uncultured bacterium
Lineage: Bacteria
Description: partial 16S ribosomal RNA
Rfam family: Bacterial small subunit ribosomal RNA
Source: RNAcentral
GUGGGGAAUAUUGGACAAUGGGGGGAACCCUGAUCCAGCCAUGCCGCGUGUGUGAAGAAGGCCUUUUGGUUGUAAAGCACUUUAAGCGAGGAGGAGGCUACCGAGAUUAAUACUCUUGGAUAGUGGACGUUACUCGCAGAAUAAGCACCGGCUAACUCUGUGCCAGCAGCCGCGGUAAUACAGAGGGUGCGAGCGUUAAUCGGAUUUACUGGGCGUAAAGCGUGCGUAGGCGGCUUUUUAAGUCGGAUGUGAAAUCCCUGAGCUUAACUUAGGAAUUGCAUUCGAUACUGGGAAGCUAGAGUAUGGGAGAGGAUGGUAGAAUUCCAGGUGUAGCGGUGAAAUGCGUAGAGAUCUGGAGGAAUACCGAUGGCGAAGGCAGCCAUCUGGCCUAAUACUGACGCUGAGGUACGAAAGCAUGGGGAGCAAACAGGAUUAGAAACCCCUGUAGUCC